Molecule: long non-coding RNA, 612 nt
Organism: Alligator sinensis (Chinese alligator)
Lineage: Eukaryota; Metazoa; Chordata; Crocodylia; Alligatoridae
Exons: 4
Source: RefSeq, a predicted model, not a curated record
AACAAUCAUCUCUCCAAGGGAGAGUGAUGUUGCGGGGUUAAUUCUCCUAAAUAUAAUCAAGGAAGUCCAAAAAUUAAAUCCAGUGCAUGUAUUAAUGAUGAUAAGUGAUCUGCUCAAGUAAAUGACACAGGAAGGAAAACUCAGAGCAACUCCAAAGGACAAAUGAUUAAUCAUCGGAACAAACAAUUCCUCAGCAUGUAAACAGCAGCAAAAAGGGCCUUGCCAGAGAAUACAGAGAAUCCAGGCUCGAAGAGUGAAAUAAAGAGCAGAGCUAGAAAACCUCCUUCACCGCUUCUCCCUCCCAAGUGCCCUGCUUGUUUCUCUGAGCUAACACAGCAGAGUGCCCUUGUGCUGGUGAGAGGCACAGGCAGCACAACAUAUUUCAGUAACCCUGAUUACCCUUUAGAGCCGAAGAAAAGAGGAGAUGGCAGAUGGCACUAAAGAAAUCCCCUUAGAUGCAGACCCAGACCCAGCCUGUUUGUUCACACAGUGGACAAGCAUCAACAUGCCAAGCACAGCUCUGGAGACAAGACAAAGUAGUCAAGAAAGAAAAGGAGAGAAAAAAAAAAGACUACACGAACUCCAGACCUAUCCUUAUCCCAAGAGCAGCAC